UGCUGCUUCGCUGACGAGUGGCGGACGGGUGAGUAAUGUCUGGGAAACUGCCUGAUGGAGGGGGAUAACUACUGGAAACGGUGGCUAAUACCGCAUAACGUCGCAAGACCAAAGAGGGGGACCUUCGGGCCUCUUGCCAUCAGAUGUGCCCAGAUGGGAUUAGCUAGUUGGUGAGGUAACGGCUCACCAAGGCGACGAUCCCUAGCUGGUCUGAGAGGAUGACCAGCCACACUGGAACUGAGACACGGUCCAGACUCCUACGGGAGGCAGCAGUGGGGAAUAUUGCACAAUGGGCGCAAGCCUGAUGCAGCCAUGCCGCGUGUAUGAAGAAGGCCUUCGGGUUGUAAAGUACUUCCAGCGGGGAGGAAGGAGUUGUGGUUAAUAACCGCAGCAAUUGACGUUACCCGCAGAAGAAGCACCGGCUAACUCCGUGCCAGCAGCCGCGGUAAUACGGAGGGUGCAAGCGUUAAUCGGAAUUACUGGGCGUAAAGCGCACGCAGGCGGUCUGUCAAGUCGGAUGUGAAAUCCCCGGGCUCAACCUGGGAACUGCAUUCGAAACUGGCAGGCUUGAGUCUUGUAGAGGGGGGUAGAAUUCCAGGUGUAGCGGUGAAAUGCGUAGAGAUCUGGAGGAAUACCGGUGGCGAAGGCGGCCCCCUGGA
RNAcentral lists this ribosomal RNA (659 nucleotides) under uncultured bacterium. RNAcentral's name for it is "bacterial SSU rRNA". It matches the Rfam family "Bacterial small subunit ribosomal RNA", at positions 78 to 733 of the family's 1533-position model. The record is from RNAcentral.